RNAcentral lists this ribosomal RNA (789 nucleotides) under uncultured bacterium. RNAcentral's name for it is "bacterial SSU rRNA". It matches the Rfam family "Bacterial small subunit ribosomal RNA", at positions 8 to 793 of the family's 1533-position model. The record is from RNAcentral.
AGAGUUUGAUCCUGGCUCAGGAUGAACGCUAGCGGCAGGCUUAAUACAUGCAAGUCGAGGGGCAACACGAGUAGCAAUACUUGGUGGCGACCGGCGCACGGGUGCGUAACACGUAUACAAUCUACCUUAAACAGGGGGAUAGCCUUUCGAAAGAGAGAUUAAUACCCCGUAAUAAAUUUGAUGGCAUCAUUAGAUUUUGAAAGCUCCGGCGGUUUGAGAUGAGUAUGCGUCUGAUUAGCUAGUUGGUGAGGUAAUGGCUCACCAAGGCGACGAUCAGUAGGGGAUCUGAGAGGACUACCCCCCACACUGGUACUGAGACACGGACCAGACUCCUACGGGAGGCAGCAGUAAGGAAUAUUGGUCAAUGGGGGCAACCCUGAACCAGCCAUGCCGCGUGCAGGAUGACGGCCCUAUGGGUUGUAAACUGCUUUUAUACCAGAGAAAACCCGAGUACGUGUACUCGGUUGAUAGUAUGGUAAGAAUAAGCAUCGGCUAACUUCGUGCCAGCAGCCGCGGUAAGACGAAGGAUGCAAGCGUUAUCCGGAUUCAUUGGGUUUAAAGGGUGCGUAGGCGGACUUGUAAGUCAGUGGUGAAAUCUCUUUGCUUAACAAAGAAACUGCCAUUGAUACUGCAGGUCUAGAGUAUAGAUGACGUUGGCGGAAUAUGACAUGUAGUGGUGAAAUACUUAGAUAUGUCAUAGAACACCGAUUGCGAAGGCAGCUAACGAAACUAUAACUGACGCUGAGGCACGAAAGUGCGGGGAUCAAACAGGAUUAGAUACCCUGGUAG